This 974-nucleotide ribosomal RNA is filed under the name Paramyxea sp. RNAcentral describes it as "bacterial SSU rRNA". It matches the Rfam family "Eukaryotic small subunit ribosomal RNA", at positions 724 to 1569 of the family's 1831-position model. Lineage: Eukaryota; Endomyxa; Ascetosporea. The record is from RNAcentral.
CGGGUGCCGCCGGCGCGUUCCGGCACACGUCGGGCGUGUCGACGGUACCCGCGACGCUGCGUUCUUCCUCCGGGGAGAGCGCGCGUCCGCGACCGUGACCCAAACCAAACGAUCGAAGUGAGCUCGUGCUCGAUGGUUUUGCAUGGAAUCGUGGAACGGGACCCUGGCUCGCGUUUCGCACGCGUUCCGCGAGAGCCAGGGCGACGAUCAACGGGAGCGGUCGGAGGCGAGGGAACUGCCGGGCGAGGGGUAAAAUCUGAUGAGCCUGGCAAGACCACCGAAAGCGAAGGCACUCGCCGAGGCCGUUUCCGUCGAUAAAGAACCGAAGCCACCAUAGACAAUGGGAUUAGAUACCCCAGUAUCGGUGUGCCCCAAACUAUGCCGUCCGGCUGGACGUCGGCUAACAUUGUGGCCGGCGUUCGGUCCGAGGAAGCUGGAGCGAUUUGGCUUCUGGGAGAUUACGGCUGCAAAGCUGAAACUUAAAGGAAUUGACGGAAGGGCACCAUCAGGUCUGGAUUGUGCGGCUCAAUUGGAUUCGACGCCCGACACCCCACCAGGACAGGAGCGCCCGAUGAAGCACCGGUCGCUCAAUUGGAUUUGACGCCCGACACCCCACCAGGACAGGAGCGCCCGAUGAAGCACCGGCCGAAUACCUCUGCCGAUGGGCGUGCGGGUGGUGCAUGGCCGCCGUAGUUCGUGAGGUGACUUGUCUGGUUGGUUCCGACAACGAACGCAACCGCCGUGCCCCGCUACGACCCGAGGCCCACGACCGCGUUUCGGCGCGGUCUCCUCGGUUCGAUCCGGAGCAGACUAACCCGCGAAUGGGUCUUCAGACCCAAAGUGGGAGUAAGCUACGGCGAUGGCAGGUCCGUAAUGCCCCCAGAUGCUCUGGAUAGCACGCGCCAUACAAUGCCUGCUCGAGCGCGACGCUGCCCCGAGAGGGGAUCGGCGAAUCCGCGGAAAAAGCGGGCCCC